GAUGAACGCUGGCGGCGUGCUUAAUACAUGCCAGUCGAGCGGACGGGCGCUGAGCUUGCUUCUCGGAUGUUAGCGGCAGGCGUGUGAGUAACACGUGUAUAACCUCCCUAUAAGACUGGGAUAACUUCGGGAAACCGGCGCUAAUCCCGUAUGAUAUUUUGAACCGCAGUGUUCAAAAGUGAAAGACGGUCUUUCUGUCACUUAUCGAUGCAUCUGCGCUGCAUUAGCUAGUUGGUAAGGUAACGGCUUACCAAGGCAACGAUGCCUAGGCGACCGCAGAGGGUGAUAGGCCGCCCUGGAAGGGGGACAGGGUCCAGAGUACUACGAGAGGGAGCAGUAGGGAACGUUACGCAAUAGGCGAGAGCCUGACGGAGCAACGGCACGUGAGUGAUGGCGGUGUCGGGAGCGUAAUAAUCUGUUAUGAGGGAAGAACAUAUGUGUAAGUAAAUGUGCACAGCUUGACGGUACCUGAUCAGAAAGCAACGGCUAACUACGUG
RNAcentral lists this ribosomal RNA (497 nucleotides) under uncultured bacterium. RNAcentral describes it as "partial 16S ribosomal RNA". It matches the Rfam family "Bacterial small subunit ribosomal RNA", at positions 28 to 507 of the family's 1533-position model. The record is from RNAcentral.